This 433-nucleotide ribosomal RNA is filed under the name uncultured bacterium. Its description in RNAcentral is "partial 16S ribosomal RNA". It matches the Rfam family "Bacterial small subunit ribosomal RNA", at positions 29 to 507 of the family's 1533-position model. The record is from RNAcentral.
AACGAACGCUGGCGGCAUGCCUAACACAUGCAAGUCGAACGAGACCUUCGGGUCUAGUGGCGCACGGGUGCGUAACGCGUGGGAACCUGCCCUUAGGUUCGGAAUAACUCCCCGAAAUGGGUGCUAAUACCGGAUAAUUUCUUCGGACCAAAGAUUUAUCGCCUUUGGAUGGGCCCGCGUUGGAUUAGCUAGUUGGUAGGGUAAAAGCCUACCAAGGCGACGAUCCAUAGCUGGUCUGAGAGGAUGAUCAGCCACACUGGGACUGAGACACGGCCCAGACUCCUACGGGAGGCAGCAGUGGGGAAUAUUGGACAAUGGGCGAAAGCCUGAUCCAGCAAUGCCGCGUGAGUGAUGAAGGCCUUAGGGUUGUAAAGCUCUUUUACCCGGGAUGAUAAUGACAGUACCGGGAGAAUAAGCACCGGCUAACUCCGUG